CGACCAGACUCCUACGGGAGGCAGCAGUGGGGGAUAUUGCACAAUGGGGGGAACCCUGAUGCAGCGACGCCGCGUGGGUGAAGGAGUAUUUCGGUAUGUAAAGCCCUAUCAGCAGGGAAGAACAAUGACGGUACCUGACUAAGAAGCACCGGCUAAAUACGUGCCAGCAGCCGCGGUAAUACGUAUGGUGCAAGCGUUAUCCGGAUUUACUGGGUGUAAAGGGAGCGCAGGCGGCGCGUUAAGCCUGGUGUGAAAGCCCGCGGCCCAACCGCGGGACUGCAUUGGGAACUGGCGCGCUGGAGUGCAGGAGGGGCAGGCGGAAUUCCUGGUGUAGCGGUGAAAUGCGUAGAUAUCAGGAGGAACACCGGUGGCGAAGGCGGCCUGCUGGACUGCAACUGACGUUGAGGCCCGAAAGCGUGGGGAGCAAACAGGAUUAGAUACCCUCGUAA
RNAcentral lists this ribosomal RNA (449 nucleotides) under uncultured bacterium. Its description in RNAcentral is "partial 16S ribosomal RNA". It matches the Rfam family "Bacterial small subunit ribosomal RNA", at positions 328 to 793 of the family's 1533-position model. The record is from RNAcentral.